GGAUGAUAGCUGUGAGUGCUAUGUAAAAAUGGGAGUAGAAGUAUAAAAGCAGAUAUCACACUCAACAUGAGACUCCAGCUUCCUCCUUUUGAAGUUAAUCUCCAAACAGCUAAACCAGGAAUGGCCAACUGUAGCAGAAGUGCUAAGUCAGGGCUUGAAGCAGUGAUUGAGCAUGUGGUGGGAAAGCUGGGCCAACACAAGCCAGGUCAGAUACAUACAAUACACCUGAGUGACUAGAAGGGGUGGAUGCAGGAUCCACCCCGUCCCAGACCUCAUUUAAGAGUUGGCAGUGGAGGCAAGGCUAUCUUGCUGGAGAUCCCUGAUGUUUUGAGGCCUUUCAAAGGUUUUCCAGAAAUAUGCCUGGUGUGAGUGUGACUGUUUUCUCCCAGACCAUAUUUCCUCUGUUGCCUUGCCAGGGUGCCAAGAGUAAGAACAACUAUUUGGACAUCAUAUAUCAGCGUGUUUGAGGCUUCCAAAAUGUCUCUUGUAAGUGUACCUUCUCUGGGUUAAUAAGUUGACCAAUGUC
Long non-coding RNA from Gallus gallus (chicken), 526 nucleotides. The record is from Ensembl. NCBI's taxonomy places the organism in Eukaryota, Metazoa, Chordata, Aves, Galliformes, Phasianidae.